AAGAGAAUUGGCCGAGCGGUUUAAGGCGGUAAACUUGAGAUUUAUUUGGUUUUUAUAAAUCACAUCCGUUCAAAUCGGAUAUUCUCUG
RNAcentral lists this transfer RNA (88 nucleotides) under Pseudogymnoascus destructans. RNAcentral's name for it is "partial tRNA-OTHER". Lineage: Eukaryota; Fungi; Ascomycota; Leotiomycetes; Thelebolales; Thelebolaceae. The record is from RNAcentral.